AGGCCUUUUGGUUGUAAAGCACUUUCAGCGGUGAAGAAGACUCCAUGGUUAAUACCCUUGGACGAUGACGUUACCUGCAGAAUAAGCACCGGCUAACUCUGUGCCAGCAGCCGCGGUAAUACAGAGGGUGCAAGCGUUAAUCGGAAUUACUGGGCGUAAAGCGAGCGUAGGUGGCUUGAUAAGUCAGAUGUGAAAUCCCCGGGCUUAACCUGGGAACGGCAUCUGAUACUGUUAGGCUAGAGUAUGUGAGAGGAAGGUAGAAUUCCAGGUGUAGCGGUGAAAUGCGUAGAGAUCUGGAGGAAUACCGAUGGCGAAGGCAGCCUUCUGGAAUCAUACUGACACUGAGGUGCGAAAGCGUGGGUAGCAAACAGGAUUAGAUACCCUGGUAGUCCACGCCGUAAACGAUGUCUACUAGUCGUUGGUGCCCUUGAGGACUUACUGACGCAGCUAACGCAUUAAGUAGACCGCCUGGGGAGUACGGCCGCAAGGUUAAAACUCAAAUGAAUUGACGGGGGCCCGCACAAGCGGUGGAGCAUGUGGUUUAAUUCGAUGCAACGCGAAGAACCUUACCUGGUCUUGACAUAUCUAGAAUCCUGCAGAGAUGCAGUGAGUGCCUUCGGGAAUUGAUAAUACAGGUGCUGCAUGGCUGUCGUCAGCUCGUGUCGUGAGAUGUUGGGUUAAGUCCCGCAACGAGCGCAACCCUUGUCCUUAGUUACCAGCGGUUUGGCCGGGAACUCUAAGGAUACUGCCAGUGACAAACUGGAGGAAGGCGGGGACGACGUCAAGUCAUCAUGGCCCUUACGACCAGGGCUACACACGUGCUACAAUGGUACGUACAGAGAGCAGCUACCCAGCGAUAUGAUGCGAAUCUCAAAAAGCCUAUCGUAGUCCAGAUUGGAGUCUGCAACUCGACUCCAUGAAGUAGGAAUCGCUAGUAAUCGCGGAUCAAAAUGCCGCGGUGAAUACGUUCCCGGGCCUUGUACACACCGCCCGUCACACCAUGGGAGUUGAUUGCAC
This 1017-nucleotide ribosomal RNA is filed under the name Psychrobacter sp. Its description in RNAcentral is "bacterial SSU rRNA". It matches the Rfam family "Bacterial small subunit ribosomal RNA", at positions 412 to 1420 of the family's 1533-position model. Lineage: Bacteria; Pseudomonadati; Pseudomonadota; Gammaproteobacteria; Moraxellales; Moraxellaceae. The record is from RNAcentral.